GUAAUGCCGGAUGCUCCGACUCCUCGCAUGGGGUGUCGGGAAAGAUUUCAUCGGUAUGGGAUGGGGUCGCGUCCUAUCAGGUAGUCGGCGGGGUAACGGCCCACCGAGCCUACGACGGGUAGCCGGCCUGAGAGGGCGACCGGCCACAUUGGGACUGAGAUACGGCCCAGACUCCUACGGGAGGCAGCAGUGGGGAAUAUUGCACAAUGGGCGCAAGCCUGAUGCAGCGACGCCGCGUGCGGGAUGACGGCCUUCGGGUUGUAAACCGCUUUUGAUCGGGAGCAAGCCUUCGGGUGAGUGUACCUUUCGAAUAAGCACCGGCUAACUACGUGCCAGCAGCCGCGGUAAUACGUAGGGUGCAAGCGUUAUCCGGAAUUAUUGGGCGUAAAGGGCUCGUAGGCGGUUCGUCGCGUCCGGUGUGAAAGUCCAUCGCUUAACGGUGGAUCUGCGCCGGGUACGGGCGGGCUGGAGUGCGGUAGGGGAGACUGGAAUUCCCGGUGUAACGGUGGAAUGUGUAGAUAUCGGAAAAGAACA
RNAcentral lists this ribosomal RNA (534 nucleotides) under Bifidobacterium pseudocatenulatum. Its description in RNAcentral is "bacterial SSU rRNA". It matches the Rfam family "Bacterial small subunit ribosomal RNA", at positions 163 to 708 of the family's 1533-position model. Lineage: Bacteria; Bacillati; Actinomycetota; Actinomycetes; Bifidobacteriales; Bifidobacteriaceae. The record is from RNAcentral.